RNAcentral lists this ribosomal RNA (491 nucleotides) under uncultured bacterium. RNAcentral's name for it is "partial 16S ribosomal RNA". It matches the Rfam family "Bacterial small subunit ribosomal RNA", at positions 29 to 507 of the family's 1533-position model. The record is from RNAcentral.
GUGAACGCUGGCGGUAGGCCUAACACAUGCAAGUCGAACGGCAGCACAGUAAGAGCUUGCUCUUACGGGUGGCGAGUGGCGGACGGGUGAGGAAUACAUCGGAAUCUACUUUUUCGUGGGGGAUAGCGUAGGGAAACUUACGCUAAUACCGCAUACGACCUACGGGUGAAAGCAGGGGAUCUUCGGACCUUGCGCGAUUGAAUGAGCCGAUGUCGGAUUAGCUAGUUGGCGGGGUAAAGGCCCACCAAGGCGACGAUCCGUAGCUGGUCUGAGAGGAUGAUCAGCCACACUGGAACUGAGACACUGUCCAGACUCCUACGGGAGGCAGCAGUGGGGAAUAUUGGACAAUGGGCGCAAGCCUGAUCCAGCCAUACCGCGUGGGUGAAGAAGGCCUUCGGGUUGUAAAGCCCUUUUGUUGGGAAAGAAAAGCAGCAGGUUAAUACCCCGCUGUUCUGACGGUACCCAAAGAAUAAGCACCGGCUAACUUCGUG